AUUGAACGCUGGCGGCAUGCUUUACACAUGCAAGUCGAACGGUAACAGGCCGCAAGGUGCUGACGAGUGGCGAACGGGUGAGUAAUGCAUCGGAACGUGCCCAGUCGUGGGGGAUAACUACUCGAAAGAGUAGCUAAUACCGCAUACGAUCUAUGGAUGAAAGCGGGGGACCGUAAGGCCUCGCGCGAUUGGAGCGGCCGAUGUCAGAUUAGGUAGUUGGUGGGGUAAAGGCUCACCAAGCCAACGAUCUGUAGCUGGUCUGAGAGGACAACCAGCCACACUGGGACUGAGACACGGCCCAGACUCCUACGGGAGGCAGCAGUGGGGAAUUUUGGACAAUGGGCGCAAGCCUGAUCCAGCAAUGCCGCGUGCAGGAAGAAGGCCUUCGGGUUGUAAACUGCUUUUGUACGGAACGAAACGGCUCUGGCUAAUACCCGGGGCUAAUGACGGUACCGUAAGAAUAAGCACCGGCUAACUACGUG
RNAcentral lists this ribosomal RNA (482 nucleotides) under uncultured bacterium. Its description in RNAcentral is "partial 16S ribosomal RNA". It matches the Rfam family "Bacterial small subunit ribosomal RNA", at positions 30 to 507 of the family's 1533-position model. The record is from RNAcentral.